RNAcentral lists this ribosomal RNA (25 nucleotides) under Phytophthora nicotianae (black shank of tobacco agent). Its description in RNAcentral is "partial 18S ribosomal RNA". The record is from RNAcentral. Lineage: Eukaryota; Oomycota; Peronosporomycetes; Peronosporales; Peronosporaceae. RNAcentral also lists the same sequence under 2 other names.
GUAGUGACCUGCGGAAGGAUCAUUA